AGGCUAGGAAAAGUGGGAAGCAAAGUGCAAAGGAGUGAAGCCUCUCAGCAUCGAGUCGCUGCAAACCUCCCUGCUUUCUCCCACUCUUUGAUCUGUGCUGGGGCCGGCAGGGAAGCAGCCGUGCUGAGAUGACCUCAAGCUCUCUAACAUCUUUCAGUUAGGUUUAUUCUUUCCCUUAAAUCAUUUACUAGGUUGGACCAUGUGCCUCCCAGUCCUUUCCCAUACAUGCACACACACACACAGGGCUGGACAUUUAAUCCCCGCGAGCUUACUCACAACAUGGGCAUUCAGAGGCCAAGAACUUGCAGUAUUUUUCUUGGCCAUGUAAGGGCUUGGGACUCCAUGCCCAGAGACUGUCAUGCAGCUGCCUAAUGAAAAACAGGAAAGCAUUCCCGAGAAACCUCCGCACCGCAGGGAAGCAGCACCCAGCAUCAUCAGCACUUCGUACCAUUCACCCCACCUGCCGGUGUUCCUGCACGUUACUCAUCCUGCUGGCACCAGCCAAAGCCCAUCUGAUCUGAAGCAGCAGCAGGACAAGGAUAGCCGUGGAUGUGACCCGUGGGAGGCCAAGCCUGCAGCCCUCUCGUCUUCUCCAAGAGCACGGCCCCCUGGUUUCAGCAGGGUGAACUACGAAGGAGCACUUUGAACUCUGCUGUGAUCCCUGAGCUACGACAGCGCUAACAUUGCCAACAAAGUGAAAG
Dromaius novaehollandiae (emu) is the source of this 701-nucleotide long non-coding RNA. RefSeq lists it as uncharacterized. The transcript has 2 exons. The record is from RefSeq and is a predicted model, not a curated record. Lineage: Eukaryota; Metazoa; Chordata; Aves; Casuariiformes; Dromaiidae.